This 781-nucleotide ribosomal RNA is filed under the name uncultured archaeon. Its description in RNAcentral is "bacterial SSU rRNA". It matches the Rfam family "Archaeal small subunit ribosomal RNA", at positions 53 to 839 of the family's 1478-position model. The record is from RNAcentral.
GCGAGUCGUGAGGGUUCGGCCCUCGGCGAACGGCUCAGUAACACAUAGAUAAUUUGCCCUUAGGUGGAGGAUACCCUCGGGAAACUGAGAAUAAUACUCCAUAGAUUUAGAAUGCUGGAAUGCUUUUAAAUUGAAAGAUUUAUCGCCUAAGGAUAGGUCUGCGGACUAUCAGGUUGUAGUCAGGGUAAAUACCUGACUAGCCUACGACGGAUACGGGCUGUGAGAGCACUAGCCCGGAGAUGAUACCUGAGACACGAUAUCAGGCCCUACGGGGCGCAGCAGGCGCGAAAACUUCGCACUGUGCGAAAGCACGACGAGGGGAUCCCAAGUGCUGGCUCGUAAGAGUCAGCUGUUUCUUUGUCUAAAAAACAGAGAGAGUAAGAGCUGGGUAAGACGGGUGCCAGCCGCCGCGGUAAUACCUGCAGCUCAAGUGGUGGCCGCUAUUAUUGGGCCUAAAACGUCCGUAGCCGGUUCUAUAAAUGCCUGGGUAAAUCGUACGGCUUAACCGUACGAAUUCCGGGUAGACUGUUUAACUUGGGGCCGGGAGAGGCUAGAGGUACUCCUGGGGUAGAGGUGAAAUUCUGUAAUCCUAGGGGGACCACCAGUGGCGAAGGCGUCUAGCUAGAACGGGUCUGACGGUGAGGGACGAAGCCCUGGGGAGCAAACGGGAUUAGAUACCCCGGUAGUCCAGGGUGUAAACGCUGCUCGCUUGAUGUUAGUCGGGCUCCGAGCCCAACUAGUGUCGGAGAGAAGUUGUUAAGCGAGCUGCCUGGGAAGUACG